Molecule: ribosomal RNA, 491 nt
Filed under: uncultured bacterium
Lineage: Bacteria
Description: partial 16S ribosomal RNA
Rfam family: Bacterial small subunit ribosomal RNA
Source: RNAcentral
GAUGAACGCUGGCGACAGGCUUAACACAUGCAAGUCGAGGGGAAACGACGGGGAAGCUUGCUUUCCCGGGCGUCGACCGGCGCACGGGUGAGUAACGCGUAUCCAACCUGCCUCUGACUGAGGGAUAACCCGGCGAAAGUACGCCUAAUACCCCAUGGUACCACCUGCGGGCAUCCAACGACGUUUAAAGAUUUCCGCGGUCAGGGAUGGGGGUGCGUUUGAUUAGCUGGUUGGCGGGGUAACGGCCCACCAAGGCUACGUUCAGUAGGGGUUCUGAGGGGCAGGUCCCCCACAAUGGAACUGCGACCCAGUCCACACUGCUACGGAGGGCAGCAGUAUGGUAUAUUGGUCAAUGAGCGAUAGCCUGACCCAACCACGUAGGGGGCAGGAAGCCGGCCGUAUUGGUUGUAAUCUGCUUUUAUGCGGGAAUAAAGGGAUGGACGUGUGCCUCAUUGCCGGUACCGCAUGAAUAAGCACCGGCUAAUUCCGUG